This 1702-nucleotide long non-coding RNA is filed under the name Homo sapiens (human). RNAcentral describes it as "HSALNT0303900". The record is from RNAcentral. Lineage: Eukaryota; Metazoa; Chordata; Mammalia; Primates; Hominidae.
CCCGCUUGUGUCCCUUUGCAUACUGUGGAAGCUUUGUUCUUUUGCUCUUUGCAGUAAAUCUUGCUACUGCUCACUCUUUGGGUCCCCGCUGCUUUUAUGAGCUGUAACAUUCACCGCGAAGAUCUGCAGCUUCACUCCUGAGCCCAGCGAGACCACAAGCCCACCGGGAGAAACGAACAACUCCAGACGUGCUGCCUUAAGAGCUGUAACACUCACCGCAAAGGUCUGCAGCUUCACUCCUGAACCAGCGAGACCACGAACCCACCAGAAGGAAGAAACUCCGAACACAUCUGAACAUCAGAAGGGACAGACUCCAGACGCGCCACCUUAAGAGCUGUAACACUCACCGCGAGGGUCCGCGGCUUCAUUCUUAAAGUCAGUGAGACCAAGAACCUACCAAUUCCGGACACAUAGGUACCAUUAAGAACAUUAAUGAUUCAUGAGAGAAGGUCAAAAUAUCAAAAUUAACAAGAAUUUGCAAGAUGUUAAUUUUAACUCUAAUAAAUGACAUUUACAGAUUCAAGACAUCAGUGGAAAAAUAAACUCCAUGUAAUGGGAAUAGCAAGAAAAAUAGCACUAGAAGUGGACCUUGAAGAUUUGACUGACCUGUGGAAAUCUCAUAGUAAAACCUGAAUGGAAGAAGAGUUGGUUCUUACAGGUAAGCAAAGAAAGCAGAUUCUUGAGAUAGAAUCUCCUUCUGGCAAAGAUGUUGUAAUAUUGUCAAAUGGUAAUAAACGAUUUAGAAUAUUAUAUAAACUUGAUAAAGCAGUGGCAGGUUUGAGAGGAUUGACUCCAAUAUUGAAAAAAGUUCUGUUGUGGAUAAAAUGCUGUCAAACAGCAUCAAAUGCUACAGAGAAAUAUUUCAUGAAAGAGAGAGUCAAUUGCUGCAGCAAAUUUCAUUGCUGUCUUAAUUUAAGAAAUUGCCACCGCCACCCAGCCCUCCAGGAACCACCAUCCUCAUCAGUCAGCAGCCAUCAACUUUGAGGAAAGGUCAUCCACCAGCAAAAAGAUUAUGAUUCACUGGAGGCUCAGAUGACUGUUAGCAUUUUUUAGGAAUAUUUUAAAAUUAAUGUGUAUAUGUUAUUUUUAUAAUUUUAUCACACACUUAACAGACUAUAGCAUAGUGUGAAUAUAACUUUUUUUUUUUGAGGUGGAGUCUUGCUCUGUCGCCCAGGCUGGAGUGCAGUGGCACAAUCUCGGCUCACUACAAGCUCCGCUUCCUGGGUUCACGCCAUUCUCCUGCCUCAGCCUCCUGAGUAGCUGGGACUACAGGCACUCACCACCACUCCCGGCUAAUUUUUUGUAUUUUUAGUAGAGACGGGAUUUCACCAUGUUAGCCAGGAUGGUCUCGAUUUCCUGACCUCGUGAUCCGCCUGCGUCGGACUCCCAAAGUGCUGGGAUUACAGGCUUGAGCCACCGCACCUGGCCGAAUAUAACUUUUAUAUGCACUGAGAAACCAAAAAAUUUGUGUGACUCGCUUUAUUGUGAUAUUUCCUUUAUUGCAGUGGUCUGAAACCAAUCUCACAAUAUCUCCAAGAUAUGCCCAUAUAGGACACCUGCAAUACCUCCAAAAAGUUCCUUCAUACAACUUUGUAGUAAAUUAUCUCACUUUAACGGAAGGCAUUUACAGAAUUACCUUAUGUAACUAUAGAUUUAUUUUGUCUGUCCUAUAAUUUUAUAAAAAUGGGAUGAAUAGAGUAGG